RNAcentral lists this unclassified non-coding RNA (724 nucleotides) under Hevea brasiliensis (rubber tree). Lineage: Eukaryota; Viridiplantae; Streptophyta; Magnoliopsida; Malpighiales; Euphorbiaceae. The record is from RNAcentral.
UUCUUCUUCUUCUUCUCUCCCACAAAAAUUUGGGAUUCAGAAAUUGUAAUUGGACGGAAAAGUUAUGAUGAGAUUGUGUUAUCGGCCGUUGGAGAGGUGUUUUGGAAGGCGGAGUGGUGAUGGACUUUUGUGGCAUACAGAUUUGAAGCCUCAUGCAUCUGGUGAUUUUUCUAUGGCUGUUGUUCAGGCUAAUUCAUCUCUUGAAGAUCAAAGUCAAGUACUUACUUCUCCUUCUGCUACCUAUGUUGGUGUUUAUGAUGGUCAUGGAGGCCCUGAAGCUGCGCGUUUUCUUAAUAGACAUCUCUUUCCUUAUUUAAACAAGUUUCAGAAAGAGCAAGGUUGUUUAUCAUCGGAGGUGAUAAAGAGAGCAUUUAAUGCGACAGAAGAGGAUUUUAUUCGAUUGGUGAAGCAAUCACUGCCUUCUAUGCCGAAGAUUGCUUCAGUUGGAUCAUGUUGUUUGUUUGGUGCUAUUUCGGGUAGUGAAUUAUAUGUAGCUAAUGCAGGAGACUCUAGGGCAGUGCUAGGACGCAGAGGUUUUGACGGGGAGAAAAGUAAAGUGGUUGCAGAAAGGUUGUCCACUGAUCAUAAUGUUUCAUGUGAGGAGGUGCGGAAAGAGGUGGAAUCACUUCAUCCUGAUGAUCCAUCUAUAGUGGUACACUGUCGAGGAGUUUGGAGAGUUAAAGGCAUAAUUCAGGUCUCAAGAUCUAUUGGAGAUGCCUAUCUU